This 85-nucleotide transfer RNA is filed under the name Acholeplasmatales bacterium. Its description in RNAcentral is "tRNA-Leu". It matches the Rfam family "tRNA". Rfam says of the family: Transfer RNA (tRNA) molecules are approximately 80 nucleotides in length. The record is from RNAcentral. Lineage: Bacteria; Bacillati; Mycoplasmatota; Mollicutes; Acholeplasmatales.
GCGGUCGUGGUGAAACUGGUAGACACGUACGUUUGAGGGGCGUAUGGCUUAUGCCUUGUGAGUUCGAAUCUCAUCGGCCGCACCA